This 464-nucleotide ribosomal RNA is filed under the name uncultured Klebsiella sp. RNAcentral describes it as "bacterial SSU rRNA". It matches the Rfam family "Bacterial small subunit ribosomal RNA", at positions 338 to 795 of the family's 1533-position model. Lineage: Bacteria; Pseudomonadati; Pseudomonadota; Gammaproteobacteria; Enterobacterales; Enterobacteriaceae. The record is from RNAcentral.
CCUACGGGCGGCAGCAGUGGGGAAUAUUGCACAAUGGGCGCAAGCCUGAUGCAGCCAUGCCGCGUGUGUGAAGAAGGCCUUCGGGUUGUAAAGCACUUUCAGCGGGGAGGAAGGCGGUGAGGUUAAUAACCUCAUCGAUUGACGUUACCCGCAGAAGAAGCACCGGCUAACUCCGUGCCAGCAGCCGCGGUAAUACGGAGGGUGCAAGCGUUAAUCGGAAUUACUGGGCGUAAAGCGCACGCAGGCGGUCUGUCAAGUCGGAUGUGAAAUCCCCGGGCUCAACCUGGGAACUGCAUUCGAAACUGGCAGGCUAGAGUCUUGUAGAGGGGGGUAGAAUUCCAGGUGUAGCGGUGAAAUGCGUAGAGAUCUGGAGGAAUACCGGUGGCGAAGGCGGCCCCCUGGACAAAGACUGACGCUCAGGUGCGAAAGCGUGGGGAGCAAACAGGAUUAGUACCCGGGUAGUC